Molecule: ribosomal RNA, 513 nt
Filed under: uncultured bacterium
Lineage: Bacteria
Description: bacterial SSU rRNA
Rfam family: Bacterial small subunit ribosomal RNA
Source: RNAcentral
GAGUUUGAUCCUGGCUCAGAUUGAACGCUGGCGGCAGGCCUAACACAUGCAAGUCGGGCGGUAGAGAGAAGCUUGCUUCUCUUGAGAGCGGGCGGACGGGUGAGUAAUGCCUAGGAAUCUGCCUGGUAGUGGGGGAUAACGCUCGGAAACGGACGCUAAUACCGCAUACGUCCUACGGGAGAAAGCAGGGGACCUUCGGGCCUUGCGCUAUCAGAUGAGCCUAGGUCGGAUUAGCUAGUUGGUGAGGUAAUGGCUCACCAAGGCGACGAUCCGUAACUGGUCUGAGAGGAUGAUCAGUCACACUGGAACUGAGACACGGUCCAGACUCCUACGGGAGGCAGCAGUGGGGAAUAUUGGACAAUGGGCGAAAGCCUGAUCCAGCCAUGCCGCGUGUGUGAAGAAGGUCUUCGGAUUGUAAAGCACUUUAAGUGGGAGGAAGGGCAGUAAAUUAAUACUUUGCUGUUUGACGUUACCGACAGAAUAAGCACCGGCUAACUCUGUGCCAGCCGCCGA